RNAcentral lists this small nucleolar RNA (209 nucleotides) under Castor canadensis (American beaver). Its description in RNAcentral is "Small nucleolar RNA U3 (ENSCCNG00000031259.1)". It matches the Rfam family "Small nucleolar RNA U3". Rfam says of the family: Small nucleolar RNAs (snoRNAs) are involved in the processing and modification of rRNA in the nucleolus. There are two main classes of snoRNAs: the box C/D class, and the box H/ACA class. U3 snoRNA is a member of the box C/D class. The record is from Rfam by way of RNAcentral. Lineage: Eukaryota; Metazoa; Chordata; Mammalia; Rodentia; Castoridae.
AGGCCUAUACUUUCAGGGAUUAUUUCUAUAGUCUAUUACUAAAGAAGUUUCUUUGAUGGUAUAGAGUAUCAGAAGCUGUGAGUAGGAGAUGAUGCUCUCAAGAGUGUGCAGCUGACUCAUAGUGUUGCUUUCCUCUAACUGGCAUUUGCCAUUGCUGAUUAUUCUCUUCCUCUGGAAAAAGUAAGAGGGUGAGGAUGUUGUCUGAGUGU